Molecule: ribosomal RNA, 481 nt
Filed under: uncultured bacterium
Lineage: Bacteria
Description: partial 16S ribosomal RNA
Rfam family: Bacterial small subunit ribosomal RNA
Source: RNAcentral
GAUGAACGCUGGCGGCGUGCUUAACACAUGCAAGUCGAACGAAGCACUUUAUUUGAUUUCCUUCGGGACUGAUUAUUUUGUGACUGAGUGGCGGACGGGUGAGUAACGCGUGGGUAACCUGCCUUGUACAGGGGGAUAACAGUUGGAAACGGCUGCUAAUACCGCAUAAGCGCACAGCAUCGCAUGAUGCAGUGUGAAAAACUCCGGUGGUAUAAGAUGGACCCGCGUUGGAUUAGCUAGUUGGUGAGGUAACGGCCCACCAAGGCGACGAUCCAUAGCCGACCUGAGAGGGUGACCGGCCACAUUGGGAGUGAGACACGGCGCAAACUCCUACGGGAGGCAGCAGUGGGGAAUAUUGCACAAUGGGCGAAAGCCUGAUGCAGCGACGCCUCGUGAGCGAAGAAGUAUUUCGGUAUGUAAAGCUCUAUCAGCAGGGAAGAUAAUGACGGUACCUGACGAAGAAGCACCGGCUAAAUACGUG